AUGAACCAAUCCAUCCCUUUUUCCCGUGCAUAUGCAUCGGACUCGGAUGACGAUGGUCCCGAUGAAGAAGUUGAUGAGGAGGGGUUCACGCCGAAGGAGGCCCAAGCAUUCAAGAAGGUAUUCGGGCGGGAUCACAAGACACCAUUGUUCAAGGAUCUUAGUCUCGCGAAUGAAGCCGUUGUGGAUGGUGGCAAAUGCAUAUCUCUUGGAGCUAGGCCAAGUUCUCACCAUGAUUUGGAAGACGGCAAGAACGGGAUAUAUCCCGGUUGUGAGUUUCAAUCCUUCUUGGAAUUGAAGAUGUGGCUCGACAACUACUCGGUUGCACAUUAUCGUCCACAUAAAGUGGCCAACUCAGACAUCAAUGUGCACUACACGGUCAAAUGUGAAGUGCCAAGAUGUCCAUGGAUUGUGCGUGCAAGGCCAUGGAAAGAAGGUCCCACUUGGCGCAUAGUGAGUUGUCUACCAACUCACAUGUGCCGGCACAGGAAUGCAGAUGGCGAGCUUGUGUACCAACAACACAGACAACUCACGUCCUAG
This 537-nucleotide ribosomal RNA is filed under the name Triticum aestivum (bread wheat). RNAcentral's name for it is "partial small subunit ribosomal RNA". Lineage: Eukaryota; Viridiplantae; Streptophyta; Magnoliopsida; Poales; Poaceae. The record is from RNAcentral.